AUCUUUUUGCAGUUCAUAAGCAUGAUGAUUGGGCAUUCAUAAUUUUGUUUGACAUGUAUCUCCCUUAAAUCUUGUGGUGAUGCCAGCACAUUACCCAUCUGAUG
Molecule: small nucleolar RNA, 104 nt
Organism: Sorex araneus (European shrew)
Lineage: Eukaryota; Metazoa; Chordata; Mammalia; Eulipotyphla; Soricidae
Product: small nucleolar RNA U13
Exons: 1
Source: RefSeq, a predicted model, not a curated record